GGGCUCACUUUGGCAGCACAUGUACUAAAAUUGGAACGAUACAGAGAAGGAUGGCAUGGCCUGUAUUCAAGGAUGACAUGCAGAUUCAUGAAAUAUUCCAUACUUUC
Molecule: small nuclear RNA, 107 nt
Filed under: Canis lupus familiaris (dog)
Lineage: Eukaryota; Metazoa; Chordata; Mammalia; Carnivora; Canidae
Source: RNAcentral